RNAcentral lists this ribosomal RNA (463 nucleotides) under uncultured bacterium. Its description in RNAcentral is "partial 16S ribosomal RNA". It matches the Rfam family "Bacterial small subunit ribosomal RNA", at positions 28 to 507 of the family's 1533-position model. The record is from RNAcentral.
GACGAACGCUGGCGGCGUGCUUAACACAUGCAAGUCGAACGGAAAGGCCUUUUCGGAGGUACUCGAGUGGCGAACGGGCGAGUAACACGUGGGUGAUCUGCCCUGCACUCUGGGAUAAGCCUGGGAAACUGGGUCUAAUACCGGAUAGGACCGCACUCUAGUGUGUGUGGUGGAAAGUUUUUUCGGUGUAGGAUGAGCCCGCGGCCUAUCAGCUUGUUGGUGGGGUAAUGGGCUACCAAGGCGGCGACGGGUAGCCGGACUGAGAGGUUGGUCGGCCACAUUGGGGCUGGGAUACGGCCCAGACUCCUACGGGGGGCAGCAGUGGGGAAUAUUGGACAAUGGGCGCAAGCCUGGUGCAGCGACGCCGCGGGGGGGAUGACGGCCUUCGGGUUGUAAACUCCUUUCGCCAGGGACGAAGCGUUUUGUGACGGUACCUGGAGAAGAAGCACCGGCUAACUACGUG